Oncorhynchus tshawytscha (Chinook salmon) is the source of this 1084-nucleotide long non-coding RNA. Lineage: Eukaryota; Metazoa; Chordata; Actinopteri; Salmoniformes; Salmonidae. The record is from Ensembl.
AGAGAGAGAGACUGAAAGAGAGAGAGAGAGACUGAAAGAGAGAGAGAGAGGGACUGAAACAGAGAUACUAAAAGAGAGAGAGAGACUAAAAGAGAGAGAGAGACUGAAAGAGAGAGAGCGAGAGACUGAAAGAGAGAGAGAGAGACUGAAACAGAGAUACUAAAAGAGAGAGAGUGUAUGAGGUCCAGGUGUCUGUGAGAGUGUAUCAGGUCCAGGUGUCUAUAAGAGUGUAUCAGGUCCAGGUGUCUGUAAGAGUGGAUCAGGUCCAGGUGACUGUAAGAGUGGAUCAGGUCCAGGUGACUGUAAGAGUGGAUCAGGUCCAGGUGACUGUAAGAGUGGAUCAGGUCCAGGUGUCUAUAAGAGUGGAUCAGGUCCAGGUGUCUAUAAGAGUGGAUCAGGUCCAGGCCCGUCCUGCUGGUAAAUGUGACAGCACUGGUUCAGAUAGAGAGGACAGGGGACAGUACCUAGAGAUCCGUCUCCCAUUAAUUAUGCUGCAGUGCUGAAGAAGGGAUGUCAGGUGGGAGGAAAGGAGGUAUGGGAUCCUUUCAAGCGUUGCCCAGAUAGUCUGGCAGAGACGCCAGGGAACAGUGACUCAGGGUGGAGUGGAGCCACAGUGUUUUAGAUAAGUAGAUGAAACCGAGGAGCCACAGUGUUUUAGAUAAGUAGACGAAACCGAGGAGCCACAGUGUUCUAGAUAAGUAGAUGAAACCGAGGAGCCACAGUGUUCUAGAUAAGUAGAUGAAACCGAGGAGCCACAGUGUUCUAGAUAAGUAGAUGAAACCGAGGAGCCACAGUGUUUUAGAUAAGAAGAUGAAACCGAGGAGCCACAGUGUUUUAGAUAAGUAGAUGAAACCGAGGAGCCACAGUGUUUUAGAUAAGUAGAUGAAACUGAGGAGCCACAGUAGUGGCAUCACACCGCUGUUACAGCUGGCCUGGUUGGACCUUUCAGCGAACAGACAAACACACACAAGAGGAGGGAGGGAUACGGACAGGUCACGGGUCACUCUGCGCCUGAGAAAUGUAAUGACUAACUAAUUACAAAUACAUUGUCCCCCAGGAGCCGUUUGUCUAACAUGGAGGGGGG